CUAAGCUGCUUCUCUUUUUUGAACAACAACAACAAAAAACUCUUCUCAGGCUUCCAUGACGCUGCACUGCCUAGCGUCAUCCACUAACCCUCUCUAGUUCCACACCCAGACUCCUCUUUCUCCCAUGGAAUGCAGACUUUCCUCAGCAUUCUAAGGCUCUUUUCUUCUGUAUAAAUAUUCUCUUGGUGAUCUUAUGUAUCCCCCUGGCUUAAAUGUGCUUCUCUAAAGCAG
This 231-nucleotide long non-coding RNA is filed under the name Bos taurus (domestic cattle). RNAcentral describes it as "long non-coding RNA NONBTAT016216". Lineage: Eukaryota; Metazoa; Chordata; Mammalia; Artiodactyla; Bovidae. The record is from RNAcentral.